UUGACCUCGGAUCAGGUAGGAAUACCCGCUGAACUUAAGCAUAUCAAUAAGCGGAGGAAAAGAAACCAACUGGGAUUGCCUUAGUAACGGCGAGUGAAGCGGCAACAGCUCAAAUUUGAAAUCUGGCCCCUCUGGGUCCGAGUUGUAAUUUGGAGAGGAUGUUUUGGGCACCGCGGCGGUGUAAAUUUCUUGGAACAGAAUGUCAUAGAGGGUGAGAAUCCCGUCUUGGACCACCGUAGGACCCGUGUAAAACUCCUUCGACGAGUCGACUUGUUUGGGAAUGCAGGUCAAAAUGGGUGGUAAAUUUCAUCUAAAGCUAAAUAUUGGCCAGAGACCGAUAGCGCACAAGUAGAGUGAUCGAAAGAUGAAAAGCACUUUGAAAAGAGAGUUAAACAGUAUGUGAAAUUGUUGAAAGGGAAGCGCUGGCAACCAGACUCGUGCGCGGGGUUCCCCCUUGCUUCUGCUUGGGUUACUUCCCCGUGUCCGGGCCAUCAUCAGUUUUGGGGGCCGGUUAAAGGCCCCGGGAAAGUAUCCUCCCCUUCGGGAGAGGACUUAUAGCCCGGGGUGUCAUGCGGCCUCCCGGGACUGAGGAACGCGCUUCGGCGAGGAUGAUGGCGUAAUGGUUGUCAGCGACCCGUCUUGAAACACGGACCAAGGAGUCUAACAUCUAUGCGAGUGUUCGGGUGUCAAACCCUGGCGCGUAAUGAAAGUGAACGGAGGUAGGAAGGCCUGAGCCUGCACUAUCGACCGAUCCUGAUGUCUUCGGAUGGAUUUGAGUAAGAGCAUAGCUGUUGGGACCCGAAAGAUGGUGAACUAUGCGUGAAUAGGGUGAAGCCAGAGGAAACUCUGGUGGAGGCUCGCAGCGGUUCUGACGUGCAAAUCGAUCGUCAAAUUUGCGUAUAGGGGCG
Molecule: ribosomal RNA, 908 nt
Filed under: Chaetothyriales sp. PF5-2b
Lineage: Eukaryota; Fungi; Ascomycota; Eurotiomycetes; Chaetothyriales
Description: eukaryotic LSU rRNA
Rfam family: Eukaryotic large subunit ribosomal RNA
Source: RNAcentral